This is a long non-coding RNA of Periophthalmus magnuspinnatus, 376 nucleotides long. RefSeq lists it as uncharacterized. The transcript is spliced from 4 exons. The record is from RefSeq and is a predicted model, not a curated record. Lineage: Eukaryota; Metazoa; Chordata; Actinopteri; Gobiiformes; Gobiidae.
CAGAGACAAGAUCUCCUUUAAUCAUAGACCAUCUGGACCAUUGUGGCAGAAGUUUCAGUGUGAAAAAAGUAAAGCCAUGGGACUUUAAAGACUGGAGCGUCCAUAUUGAGGUGGGCAAUGACGAAGCUCUCAUGUUCAAAUUGGAAUCUUUUUUAACAAUAAAGAUGGACAGAAUUGUGACUAUUUGGGCUGAAGGCUGUUGUCCACCAGAUGCAGAUAAACGUUAUAAUCAGGAGUGGAAGAACCAGGCCCCAUGGAACACUGGGGAAAUAGCCUUUGUUUCUCUCUAUAACGAAUAUAAUGAGUUGAUGGACAGAAUAUGUGAAUGGAUGUACUUUGAUCCACCAAUAUAAACCAGCUGAUUAUAAUUGACCUG